This 231-nucleotide ribosomal RNA is filed under the name uncultured Actinomycetales bacterium. RNAcentral's name for it is "partial 16S ribosomal RNA". It matches the Rfam family "Bacterial small subunit ribosomal RNA", at positions 102 to 334 of the family's 1533-position model. The record is from RNAcentral. Lineage: Bacteria; Bacillati; Actinomycetota; Actinomycetes; Actinomycetales.
CGACGGGUGAGUAACACGUGGGUGAUCUGCCCUGCACUUCGGGAUAAGCUUGGGAAACUGGGUCUAAUACCGGAUAGGAGCCAUCUUUAGUGUGGUGGUUGGAAAGUUUUUUCGGUGUAGGAUGAGCUCGCGGCCUAUCAGCUUGUUGGUGGGGUAAUGGCCUACCAAGGCGGCGACGGGUAGCCGGCCUGAGAGGGUGUACGGCCACAUUGGGACUGAGAUACGGCCCAG